Molecule: ribosomal RNA, 253 nt
Filed under: uncultured bacterium
Lineage: Bacteria
Description: partial 16S ribosomal RNA
Rfam family: Bacterial small subunit ribosomal RNA
Source: RNAcentral
UACGGAGGGGGCAAGCGUUGUUCGGAGUCACUGGGCGUAAAGGGCGCGUAGGCGGUGGAGCGAGUCAGGCGUGAAAGCCCCGGGCUUAACCUGGGAAUUGCGCUUGAUACUGCUUUGCUUGAGACCGGGAGAGGAUGGCGGAAUUCCCAGUGUAGAGGUGAAAUUCGUAGAUAUUGGGAAGAACACCGGUGGCGAAGGCGGCCAUCUGGACCGGAUCUGACGCUGAGGAGCGAAAGCGUGGGGAGCAAACAGG